Molecule: unclassified non-coding RNA, 239 nt
Filed under: soil metagenome
Description: partial contains 5.8S ribosomal RNA, internal transcribed spacer 2, and large subunit ribosomal RNA
Rfam family: 5.8S ribosomal RNA (bases 1-114)
Source: RNAcentral
AUGAAGAACGCAGCGAAACGCGAUAUUUCUUGUGAAUUGCAGAAGUGAAUCAUCAGUUUUUGAACGCACAUUGCACUUUGGGGUAUCCCCCAAAGUAUACUUGUUUGAGCGUUGUUUCUCUCUUGGAAUUGCUUUGCUCUUCUAAAAUUUCGAAUCAAAUUCGUUUGAAAAACAACACUAUUCAACCUCAGAUCAAGUAGGAUUACCCGCUGAACUUAAGCAUAUCAAUAAGCGGAGGA